This 83-nucleotide transfer RNA is filed under the name Schistocephalus solidus. It matches the Rfam family "tRNA". Rfam says of the family: Transfer RNA (tRNA) molecules are approximately 80 nucleotides in length. Their secondary structure includes four short double-helical elements and three loops (D, anti-codon, and T loops). Lineage: Eukaryota; Metazoa; Platyhelminthes; Cestoda; Diphyllobothriidea; Diphyllobothriidae. The record is from Rfam by way of RNAcentral.
AGCCUCAUAGCUCAGUUGUUUAGAGCGUUGGCUGUACUAAAGCCUUCCCCUUGCUGGUGUGGGUUCGAAUCCCACCGAGGCCG